Molecule: ribosomal RNA, 253 nt
Filed under: uncultured bacterium
Lineage: Bacteria
Description: partial 16S ribosomal RNA
Rfam family: Bacterial small subunit ribosomal RNA
Source: RNAcentral
UACGGGGGGGGCAAGCGUUGUUCGGAAUUACUGGGCGUAAAGGGCUCGUAGGUGGCCAACUAAGUCAGACGUGAAAUCCCUCGGCUUAACCGGGGAACUGCGUCUGAUACUGGAUGGCUUGAGUUCGGGAGAGGGAUGCGGAAUUCCAGGUGUAGCGGUGAAAUGCGCAGAUAUCAGGAGGAACACCGGUGGCGAAGGCGGGUCUCUGGGCCGAUACUGACGCUGAGGAGCGAAAGCGUGGGGAGCGAACAGG